UGCUUAACACAUGCAAGUCGAACGGCAGCAUUGUCUAGCUUGCUAGGCAGAUGGCGAGUGGCGAACGGGUGAGUAACGCGUAGGAAUAUGCCUUGAAGAGGGGGACAACUUGGGGAAACUCAAGCUAAUACCGCAUAAUGUCUGAGGACGAAAGCUGGGGACCUUCGGGCCUGGCGCUUUAAGAUUAGCCUGCGUCCGAUUAGCUAGUUGGUGGGGUAAGGGCCUACCAAGGCGACGAUCGGUAGCUGGUCUGAGAGGAUGACCAGCCACACUGGAACUGAGACACGGUCCAGACUCCUACGGGAGGCAGCAGUGGGGAAUAUUGGACAAUGGGGGCAACCCUGAUCCAGCAAUGCCGCGUGUGUGAAGAAGGCCUGAGGGUUGUAAAGCACUUUCAGUGGGGAGGAGGGUUGAUAGGUUAAGAGCUAAUUAACUGGACGUUACCCACAGAAGAAGCACCGGCUAACUCCGUGCCAGCAGCCGCGGUAAUACGGAGGGUGCGAGCGUUAAUCGGAAUUACUGGG
RNAcentral lists this ribosomal RNA (524 nucleotides) under Legionella pneumophila serogroup 7. RNAcentral describes it as "bacterial SSU rRNA". It matches the Rfam family "Bacterial small subunit ribosomal RNA", at positions 45 to 558 of the family's 1533-position model. The record is from RNAcentral. Lineage: Bacteria; Pseudomonadati; Pseudomonadota; Gammaproteobacteria; Legionellales; Legionellaceae.